UGGGGAAUAUUGCACAAUGGGCGCAAGCCUGAUGCAGCCAUGCCGCGUGUGUGAAGAAGGCCUUCGGGUUGUAAAGCACUUUCAGCGGGGAGGAAGGCGAUAAGGUUAAUAACCUUGUCGAUUGACGUUACCCGCAGAAGAAGCACCGGCUAACUCCGUGCCAGCAGCCGCGGUAAUACGGAGGGUGCAAGCGUUAAUCGGAAUUACUGGGCGUAAAGCGCACGCAGGCGGUCUGUCAAGUCGGAUGUGAAAUCCCCGGGCUCAACCUGGGAACUGCAUUCGAAACUGGCAGGCUAGAGUCUUGUAGAGGGGGGUAGAAUUCCAGGUGUAGCGGUGAAAUGCGUAGAGAUCGGGAGGAAUACCGGUGGCGAAGGCGGCCCCCUGGACAAAGAAUGACGCUCAGGUGCGAAAGCGUGGGGAGCAAACAGG
Molecule: ribosomal RNA, 429 nt
Filed under: Chloroflexota bacterium
Lineage: Bacteria; Bacillati; Chloroflexota
Description: Chloroflexi bacterium partial 16S ribosomal RNA
Rfam family: Bacterial small subunit ribosomal RNA
Source: RNAcentral